UGCUUCCAUGCCUGUAACUUCUGUCCAAAAGCCCUGCUCUAAGUCACUGCCUCCUGUCCUAGGGGUCACUUUCUUUUUGAGUAGGAUUUGAGUUUUGAGAGGGUAUUCUGCUCCUCUUAUCACCUGGUCCCUUUCCUUCUAAGGCCCAGAAGAGGAAGACAUGCUGCGGAUUUCAGCCUUCUUUCUAGCUUUCCUGGCUCCUGCAGCCACUCAGAUAUCUUCCAACUUGGAAGGGAGGCAGAUAUCAAUCACCAGGCAGAGUGGGUCAUCUGUUGUAAUCCCUUGUGAUAUCGUUAAUCAAAACACCAACUACGUCCACUGGUACCGAUACCAGGAGGGGAUGGCCCCACGCAGGCUUCUGUACUACGAGUUCUCCAGCUCACAGUUUGUGGUGGAUCAGGGAGUCAGUUCAGAGAAGUACCAUGUUUAUGAAGGCACAGGGAGGAGCUGUAAGUUCGUCCUCCGAAAUCUGGAAGAAAAGGAUUCUGGUGUGUAUUACUGUGCUGUCUGGAUGAGGCACAGUGAUUGA
Molecule: non-coding RNA, 529 nt
Organism: Rhinolophus ferrumequinum (greater horseshoe bat)
Lineage: Eukaryota; Metazoa; Chordata; Mammalia; Chiroptera; Rhinolophidae
Source: the annotation of a RefSeq genome assembly